CCCGCAGCACAAGUGGUGGUCAUUAUUAUUGGGCCUAAAGCGUCCGUAGCUGGCUUGUUAGAUGCCUGGGUAAAUCGAUGCGCUCAACGCAUCGAACUCCGGGUAGACCGGCAAGCUUGGGACCGGGAGAGGCGUGAGCUACUCGAGGGGUAGGGGUAAAAUCCUGUAAUCCUUCGGGGAGGACCAGUGGCGAAGGCGUCACGCUAGAACGGCUCCGACAGUGAGGGACGAAGCCCUGGGGCGCAAACCGGAUUAGAUACCCGGGUAGUCCAGGGUGUAAACGCUGCAGACUUGGUGUCGGUGAUCCUACGAGGGUUGCCGGUGCCGUAGAGAAGUUGUUUAGUCUGCCGCCUGGGGAGUACGGUCGCAAGACUG
RNAcentral lists this ribosomal RNA (375 nucleotides) under uncultured organism. RNAcentral describes it as "bacterial SSU rRNA". It matches the Rfam family "Archaeal small subunit ribosomal RNA", at positions 476 to 851 of the family's 1478-position model. The record is from RNAcentral.